Small nuclear RNA from Camelus dromedarius (Arabian camel), 104 nucleotides. The record is from Ensembl. Lineage: Eukaryota; Metazoa; Chordata; Mammalia; Artiodactyla; Camelidae.
GUGCUCACUUUGGCAGCGCAUACACUACAACUGGAAUACAGAGAAGAUUAUCACAGUCCCUGAACAAGGAUAACAUGCAAAUUCAUGAAGUAUUUCUUUUUUUU